GGGGCUAUAGCUCAGUUGGUAGAGCGCGACAAUCGCACUGUCGAGGUCAGGAGUUCGAUUCUCCUUAGCUCCA
Molecule: transfer RNA, 73 nt
Filed under: Ilumatobacter sp.
Lineage: Bacteria; Bacillati; Actinomycetota; Acidimicrobiia; Acidimicrobiales; Ilumatobacteraceae
Also listed under: 2 other names
Description: tRNA-Ala
Rfam family: tRNA
About the family: Transfer RNA (tRNA) molecules are approximately 80 nucleotides in length.
Source: RNAcentral